This 502-nucleotide ribosomal RNA is filed under the name uncultured bacterium. Its description in RNAcentral is "partial 16S ribosomal RNA". It matches the Rfam family "Bacterial small subunit ribosomal RNA", at positions 28 to 507 of the family's 1533-position model. The record is from RNAcentral.
GACGAACGCUGGCGGCGUGCUUAACACAUGCAAGUCGAACGGUGAAGGGGUCUGCUUUUGUGGGCCCUGGAUGAGUGGCGAACGGGUGAGUAACACGUGAGUAACCUGCCCCCUUCUUCUGGAUAACCGCAUGAAAGUGUGGCUAAUACGUGAUAUUCUGGGUCUGUCGCAUGAUGGGUCUGGGAAAGAUUGCGCCUUUGGGUGUUUUUGGUGGGGGAUGGGCUCGCGGCCUAUCAGCUUGUUGGUGGGGUGAUGGCCUACCAAGGCGGUGACGGGUAGCCGGCCUGAGAGGGUGGACGGUCACACUGGGACUGAGACACGGCCCAGACUCCUACGGGAGGCAGCAGUGGGGAAGAUUGCACAAUGGGCGCAAGCCUGAUGCAGCGACGCCGCGUGAGGGAUGGAGGCCUUCGGGUUGUAAACCUCUUUCGCCAGUGAAGCAGGCCUGCUCCGUGUGGGUGGGUUGACGGUAGCUGGAUAAGAAGCGCCGGCUAACUACGUG